UACGGAGGGUGCAAGCGUUAUCCGGAUUUAUUGGGUUUAAAGGGUCCGUAGGCGGGCCGAUAAGUCAGUGGUGAAAGCCCAUAGCUCAACUAUGGAACUGCCAUUGAUACUGUCGGUCUUGAGUAUAUGUGAUGUUGGCGGAAUGUGUAGUGUAGCGGUGAAAUGCUUAGAUAUUACACAGAACACCGAUUGCGAAGGCAGCUGACAAAUAUAUAACUGACGCUGAGGGACGAAAGUGUGGGGAUCAAACAGG
Molecule: ribosomal RNA, 253 nt
Filed under: uncultured bacterium
Lineage: Bacteria
Description: partial 16S ribosomal RNA
Rfam family: Bacterial small subunit ribosomal RNA
Source: RNAcentral